CCCUCAACUAGGCUUGGACUUGGAACUUGCUGCUCCCUUUCUCUCCUACUCUCAGGAUGCAUAUCCGAGAUCCGUGACUAGGAAAUCAUCUCAGUACCUGUGGGCAGCAUACAGAGGUCGCAUUCUCAGUAGCUGGAGCCAGAGGACCGGGAAAGCGGCAGCCUAGCAAGACAGAGCUUAGAGACAACCACCCGACUCCAGCUAAACGCCUGGGGACUAGGCCCACCCUGACCUGGUCGGCAAAGGCACCUCGAACAGCACAGCUUGCUCUUCCUCGAAUAGAGAGGCUACCAACCCACUCUCCACCAAAUUCCAGAUCAGUAGUGGCAUCAUGAUGUGUCCCAGGGACUAUCCAAGGACAAAGAACAGGCCUGCUACUCUAAGCUAGGCCUGCCAAGGAGCAAAAUUUAACCUGUAUUCCUAUGUUGUUCAACCAUCUUCCUGAACCCUAAUACUUGCAGAAUAUUGUGCCACUUCCUGCUAAUCUCCAUGGUUUUGGG
Molossus molossus (Pallas's mastiff bat) is the source of this 500-nucleotide long non-coding RNA. RefSeq lists it as uncharacterized. The record is from RefSeq and is a predicted model, not a curated record. Lineage: Eukaryota; Metazoa; Chordata; Mammalia; Chiroptera; Molossidae. The transcript has 4 exons.